RNAcentral lists this ribosomal RNA (393 nucleotides) under uncultured bacterium. RNAcentral describes it as "bacterial SSU rRNA". It matches the Rfam family "Bacterial small subunit ribosomal RNA", at positions 28 to 424 of the family's 1533-position model. The record is from RNAcentral.
GACGAACGCUGGCGGCGUGCUUAACACAUGCAAGUCGAGCGGUAAGGCCCUUUCGGGGGUACACGAGCGGCGAACGGGUGAGUAACACGUGGGUGACCUGCCCUCAGCUCUGGGAUAAGCCUGGGAAACCGGGUCUAAUACUGGAUAUGACUCCAUGACGCAUGUUGUGGGGUGGAAAGCCUUGUGCGGCUGAGGAUGGGCCCGCGGCCUAUCAGCUUGUUGGUGGGGUGANGGCCUACCAAGGCGACGACGGGUAGCCGGCCUGAGAGGGCGACCGGCCACACUGGGACUGAGACACGGCCCAGACUCCUACGGGAGGCAGCAGUGGGGAAUCUUGCGCAAUGGGCGAAAGCCCUGACGCAGCGACGCCGCGUGAGGGAUGACGGCCUGGUU